RNAcentral lists this ribosomal RNA (393 nucleotides) under uncultured bacterium. RNAcentral describes it as "bacterial SSU rRNA". It matches the Rfam family "Bacterial small subunit ribosomal RNA", at positions 505 to 898 of the family's 1533-position model. The record is from RNAcentral.
GUGUCAGCCGCCGCGGUAAUACGAACUGUGCGAACGUUAUUCGGAAUCACUGGGCUUAAAGGGUGCGUAGGCGGCGGCUCAAGUCAGGUGUGAAAUCCCCCGGCUCAACCGGGGAACAGCGCUUGAAACUGGGUUGCUUGAGUGAGGCAGGGGUGUAUGGAACUUCCGGUGGAGCGGUGAAAUGUGUAGAGAUCGGAAGGAACGCCGGCGGCGAAAGCGGUACACUGGGCCUUGUCUGACGCUGAGGCACGAAAGCUAGGGGAGUGAACGGGAUUAGAUACCCCGGUAAUCCUAGCCGUAAACACUGAGCACUGGAGGAGAGGGGCUUCGGCCUUUUUCCUCGCAGCGAAAGCGUUAAGUGCUCCGCCUGGGGAGUAUGGUCGCAAGGCUGAA